RNAcentral lists this unclassified non-coding RNA (418 nucleotides) under uncultured Frankia sp. RNAcentral's name for it is "partial contains 16S ribosomal RNA, 16S-23S ribosomal RNA intergenic spacer, and 23S ribosomal RNA". Lineage: Bacteria; Bacillati; Actinomycetota; Actinomycetes; Frankiales; Frankiaceae. The record is from RNAcentral.
GUCCGUAAGGGUCCGAAUGGGGAAACCCGGACGAAUGGGGAAACCCGGAGGUGGGGUCCGUAAGGGUCUGCGGCUGGAUCCCCUCCUUACUAAGGAGCGUCUGGCUGGUCUGUCCUGUUGGGGUCCGUAAGGGUCCGAAUGGGGAAACCCGGAGGUGUGGUCCUUAAGGGUCCGAAUGGGGAAGCCCGGAGGUGGGUCCGUAAGGGUCCGAAUGGGAAACCCGGAGGUGGGGUCCAUAAGGGUCCGAAUGGGGAACCCGGAGGUGGGGUCCGUAAGGGUCCGAAUGGGGAAGCCCGGAGGUGGGGUCCGUAAGGGUCCGAAUGGGGAAACCCGGGGGUGGGGUCGUAAGGGUCCGAAUGGGGAAACCCGGAGUCCGUAAGGGGUCCGAAUGGGGUCCGUAAGGGUCGGGGUCCGAAUG